Molecule: ribosomal RNA, 253 nt
Filed under: uncultured bacterium
Lineage: Bacteria
Description: partial 16S ribosomal RNA
Rfam family: Bacterial small subunit ribosomal RNA
Source: RNAcentral
UACGAAGGGGGCUAGCGUUGCUCGGAAUCACUGGGCGUAAAGGGUGCGUAGGCGGGUCUUUAAGUCAGGGGGGAAAUCCUGGAGCUCAACUCCAGAACUGCCUUUGAUACUGAAGAUCUUGAGUUCGGGAGAGGUGAGUGGAACUGCGAGUGUAGAGGUGAAAUUCGUAGAUAUUCGCAAGAACACCAGUGGCGAAGGCGGCUCACUGGCCCGAUACUGACGCUGAGGAACGAAAGCGUGGGGAGCGAACAGG